GGGGACUUUCGGCUGCAGGGUCGACGAUUCCUACGGGAGGCAGCAGUGGAGGAAUAUUGCGCAAUGGGGGAAACCCUGACGCAGCAACGCCGCGUGAACGAUGAAGGCCUUCGGGUCGUAAAGUUCUUUUCUGAAGGAAGAUAACGACGGUACUUCAGGAAUAAGUCCCGGCUAACUACGUGCCAGCAGCCGCGGUAAAACGUAGGGGGCGAGCGUUAUCCGGAUUUAUUGGGCGUAAAGCGCGCGUAGGCGGCGCUGUAAGUUGGACGUGAAAGCUCUCGGCUUAACUGAGAGAGGUCGUUCAAAACUGCAGUGCUUGAGGUUGGAAGAGGAGAGUGGAAUUCCCGGUGUAGUGGUGGAAUGCGUAGAUAUCGGGAGGAACACCAGUGGCGAAAGCGACUCUCUGGUCCACACCUGACGCUGAGGUGCGAAAGCGUGGGUAGCGAACGGGAUUAGAUACCCCGGUAGUCCACGCCGUAAACGAUGGAUACUAGGUGUAGGAGGUCAUUUACCCCUUCUGUGCCGAAGCAAACGCGUUAAGUAUCCCGCCUGGGGACUACGGCCGCAAGGCUAAAACUCAAAUGAAUUGACGG
RNAcentral lists this ribosomal RNA (593 nucleotides) under uncultured Chloroflexota bacterium. RNAcentral describes it as "bacterial SSU rRNA". It matches the Rfam family "Bacterial small subunit ribosomal RNA", at positions 296 to 916 of the family's 1533-position model. Lineage: Bacteria; Bacillati; Chloroflexota. The record is from RNAcentral.